This 257-nucleotide ribosomal RNA is filed under the name uncultured bacterium. RNAcentral describes it as "partial 16S ribosomal RNA". It matches the Rfam family "Bacterial small subunit ribosomal RNA", at positions 524 to 776 of the family's 1533-position model. The record is from RNAcentral.
UACGUAGGGUGCAAGCGUUGUCCGGAAUUAUUGGGCGUAAAGAGCUCGUAGGCGGUCUGUCGCGUCUGCUGUGAAAAUCCGGGGCUCAACCCCGGAACUUGCAGUGGGUACGGGGCAAGACUAGAGUGUGGUAGGGGAGAACUGGAAUUCCUGGUGUAGCGGUGAAAUGCGUAGAUAUCUGAAGGAACAUCAGUGGCGAAAGCGACUUCCUGGACCAGAACUGACGAUCAGGCACGAAAGCGUGGGGAGCAAACAGG